CGUCUUGGAAUUCAGCUGCAACUUUUGCCUCCUUAGAUUUUGCCCCUCUCUCUCUCUCUCUCUCUUCUCUCUCUUCCCUGCACCCGUUCCUCUCUCUCUCUCUACAUUCUUAGACCAAGCAUCUCUUUCUCUCUCUAACUUCAAGAUUACCUGGCAGACGCAGGCUCUUUCUCGCUCCAACUCCUGAGAUUACCUGGCAGCCCGAGCUUCUCUCUCUUAACCUUCUCCCCGCUCUCUCUCUCUCUAGAUAUACCUCAAAUUCCCAAUUUCCGAGAGUAUUUUUCUCUCCUCUCUCUCUCUCUCUCUCUCCGGACAUGGCGGACUGGAGAGCAUCACAGGGCAUCGGUACUCAUGAAGCCUCCAAGAAAAGCACCAGGCCAACCCACAGGAAACCUCCUCCAGGAUUUUGGAAACCCACUGUGCCUUCGUGGGAGAAGGAGUUCUGCACCUCAGUGUGCUGCAUACCCUGGCCAAAGCUCUGCGAAACAAAGAAAGUGAUGGGAAUGUAUGCAAAUAUUGUUCAAUGGAAUGACUCUGCCGGUGAAGAAGCAUUUCACAAUGCAAAACAGAGGUUUUGGGCCAUGAUUAAUGGUAUUCGCUGUGAUAUUGCUCUUCCUGAUCCCGACAUUUACAUCGACAAAGUUGAUUGGAACUCAAAAGUUGUUGAUCCCGAAGAUCUGUUUGACCCACCUGAUAUAGAUACAACACUAGAAGAUAACGAACAGUUUGGCCUGGGUUUCGAGAAUACAAGGGUGAUAAAUGAUGAAGAAACUGAUAAACAGGUGCAUUCAAAUUUUGGUUGGGGGCCUGAGUUUUGUUCAAAUAGGAUUGGCAAUGAAUUGAAUGAUUUGGUGCCUUGCUCUGGCUGGGGGGAUUGUGAUGAACCUUCAGAAACUGUGAAGAAUGAUUAUUCGCCCUCAAGUGGUUGGGAAAUAACUGAAGAUAAUUCAUGGGACCGUAGAGGAUGGGAGACCGACUUUCAAGUAUCUCAUUUUCCUGAUAAAAUAAAAGAUGGGAAUACGUGGCAAGCCAGAAACAUGAAUUGGAGGAAGAGAGAGCAGCUCAAUCGAAACGGGUCGAGAUAUAAGACCACAAGGUAUCAUCAAGCAGUUGCAGAUGAGGCUCAUGAGGAUAAUGGUGUUAAUGGUGAUUGGUUGGAUUGGAAGGGAAGAAAUAGAGUUGACUUUACUCACCAAUGGCCUGGUUAUCCUAUCACCAAGGAAACUUUCGUGCCCCGACAAUGGAAUACUAUCCAGUCAUGUGCUUACCGAUAAAUAGUAAGCACCCAUGUCCUAUUGGAAUUAUUUCAAGAAAGAGAAAUGGCUUCCGCGACCUCUUUUUGUAUGGAUAAUAUUAUAGAACAUGAUGGUUGGAUUUUAUAAGUGCCCCAACAACAAUACACACUGGGGAUCUUCUCAUCCCUUAAAUGGGUAGCAUUAUGCAUCGUGAUGGUUGGUUUUUAUAAGUGUCCCAGCAACAGUACACAAUGGGAUCUUCUCUUCAUGUAUUGUGAUUUUUGGUACUUAAUGCAACUUUAAGGUUGUGGAUUCGUAUUCUGCUCAUCUAGUAAAAAAGAAAAUACAAAAAAGGAAGAAAGGUAAAUGACAAUGCUGUUAAAGAGUGGACCAGAGCUCGAACAGCUGGGAUACCGAUUCGGUCAGACUAGUCAAACCAGACCAAUCAGCUGUCAAACCGGUCAAAAAACUGAAAAAGAAUCAGAAUCUGAAGAUAUAUAUGACAAUUGUUUACGUAGCUCAUGUGAAAAUGAUAGCAUAAGCCACAACAUGCUUUCAUUCAGAUUUUUCAUGUGCUUUAAACAAAAUAUGUUUCUGAGCACCACGAUAAAGAGUUAUGUUAAUAACUUUUCUGUCAUUUGAUUGUAUAUCCAACCGCUUGAUUUCUGUUAUAUUAUAUUGAAAAUUUGAGCUGCAUUUAGCAUGUAACUUAAACUGAGUCUCGUUCAUGUAAAUUCCUUGCUUGGUUUUAUCAAUAGUUGUGCCAGGUCGACUGAGCUACUAUCAUUUUUGCAAUGUUAGUCUUUAAAUAUCCAUGUCAAUUGUCUUUAGCUGCCAUAUGUGGACUAUUGUAUUGCAUGAUUUGACAGUUAAAACUGCUUAUCUGUGUAUGUUCAAAACUUAAUAAAAUGGAACUUUUUGAUGAGUCAUGGACUUGUUAAGGGCAAUGUUACUGUUAGGGCAGUGCAUGAUACGCUUAUGGUGGACGUUCAUGGGAACGAUAAAUGGUGGACGUUCAUGUGACAGAAAAAUUCCCCCAUCCGAACACGAGGCUAAGGCAUCAUCGUCGUCAAUAUCAUUGCUGUCCACAUACACUCACUUCUUCCUCCUCCAUGUCAUGUGAGUCAGCCUCCUUGAUCUCUGGAGCCUAUGUCGAUCUGGACCCAACUGUCUUCUUUUUUUAGUCUACUUCUAGGUGACAUCCAACCACGUGAGUUCCUCACUCUCAAACAACCGCUCAGCUCGUAGAUCUACUGUCCACUCUGUGCCCACGGGUUCAUCCAUUACAGUUGGGUCCACAUGCAUGUGCUUCAAGAACCUCUCCCUAAGGCACUCACAAUAUCGUACAUAGACGAGAUCAUUCAACUUUUGCUGCUCUAGCCUAUUCCUUUUUUUGAUAUUGAACUAUGGUAACAAGCAAAGAUACAAUCAUACAAGCAAAGGAGAGAAGAUUUUACUUAACUUAAGCAAUGGCCAACGGAUAUCUGUUUUUCUACAAUCUAGAUUCUAGAAAAUUGAAAACUAAGCAAAUAAAGACUUGUAUGCUCAAAUGCGCUCCAGUUGCGCUCACGACCAGAUAAGUUGCCUGCGAGGCUCGACACUUGAAUAGCGAGACGUUGGAGAUUUUGUGUUUUGCUCCCAUAUAUGAUACCCAUCACUCAGCUGCGUAUUAUUUUAGAUAUUUAAGUUUCAUACAACAAUACAAGUAUAACAAAGUAAAGAACACACAACGAAGUUAAGAACUUUUUAGUCAAAGUCAAACUUUGAUCAUCUGACUAUGUGGUAUACCUGUUACUAAUCAUGAUAUCAUGUCCAAAGUUCCUAAGUGCACCCUUGAAAUUUAUCAAUUCAUUACUUUGAAUCCAAUCUGUACAGAAAGGAUCAGGGACCAAUCUCUUGAGUAAAUCUAAGAACCUUCCAUUUAUUGUACGAUCCAAUUCAUUAGAAGGGUUCUUAUAAUGAAGAGAUGGAUUUAGAAAUGCCCUAUUGCAUGGUGGGGCACCGGUGAAGCUGGGUUCCUAUCAAUAAGUCUAAAUUCUGGGAUAGUAUUUGGUCUCAUCAUUCUUCAAAGUCAUUUUUAUCUCUUCGUUCAUAGUAAUCAUACCCUCAUGUAUGUAGCCCAUGGCACGCCGUGCAUUUCCUUCCACCAAUUGAUGCACUUUCACUAAAGGGCGAGACAUUUUCGAUGAAUAGUAGUAGAAUUGGAUCUAGAGGGAUGUGCUAAGAACAAUUUUCUCUAUUAUUUCCGAUCUUGAUGCCUUGACCUCUUGUUUUUUGGGCACUUCUCUGAAGUGAACAUGCUCCUUAGGGCAUUUUAUUUCUUACAUAGGUUUUGAAGAGUGAGAAUUGGCAUGUCAAAUCUAGUGACUCCUGCUCUCACUAUCUGCCUCUCUUUUUAGUAAACUCUCUCAUCAUGGGUAGGUAAUUGACUAUAGAUGAAAUCAAUGAGAAACUUAGCUUUUGUGUUUGCAUGUUUGACCUUAGAUGUCUUUGCUAUGUCCUCAAGCAUGAAAUCAAGACAGCGAGUAGUGCAGGGACCCCAAAACAUAUGCCUCCUCUCCAAAGUCAAGAUAUCCCCCAACUGCAGAGUGAUUAGCACCAUUGUUAGUGAUAAUUGGUACCACAUUGUUUUCCCCAAAAAGUUCAUCACAUGACUUGUCCAAUGCAUCAAUAGAUUUUA
Amborella trichopoda is the source of this 3915-nucleotide non-coding RNA. Lineage: Eukaryota; Viridiplantae; Streptophyta; Magnoliopsida; Amborellales; Amborellaceae. The record is from RefSeq and is a predicted model, not a curated record.